GGAUCAUUACCGAGUUUACAACUCCCAAACCCCUGUGAACAUACCUAUACGUUGCCUCGGCGGAUCAGCCCGCGCCCCGUAAAACGGGACGGCCCGCCCGAGGACCCUAAACUCUGUUUUUAGUGGAACUUCUGAGUAAAACAAACAAAUAAAUCAAAACUUUCAACAACGGAUCUCUUGGUUCUGGCAUCGAUGAAGAACGCAGCAAAAUGCGAUAAGUAAUGUGAAUUGCAGAAUUCAGUGAAUCAUCGAAUCUUUGAACGCACAUUGCGCCCGCCAGUAUUCUGGCGGGCAUGCCUGUUCGAGCGUCAUUUCAACCCUCAAGCUCAGCUUGGUGUUGGGACUCGCGGUAACCCGCGUUCCCCAAAUCGAUUGGCGGUCACGUCGAGCUUCCAUAGCGUAGUAAUCAUACACCUCGUUACUGGUAAUCGUCGCGGCCACGCCGUAAAACCCCAACUUCUGAAUGUUGACCUCGGAUCAGGUAGGAAUACCCGCUGAACUUAAGCAUAUCAAAAGCCGGGAGGAA
This 526-nucleotide ribosomal RNA is filed under the name Fusarium sp. DY31-W1304-MS2. RNAcentral describes it as "eukaryotic LSU rRNA". The stretch from base 158 to 311 matches the Rfam family "5.8S ribosomal RNA". Lineage: Eukaryota; Fungi; Ascomycota; Sordariomycetes; Hypocreales; Nectriaceae. The record is from RNAcentral.